GACGAACGCUGGCGGCGUGCUUAACACAUGCAAGUCGAGCGGUAAGGCCUCUUCGGGGGUCCACGAGCGGCGAACGGGUGAGUAACACGCGGGUGACCUGCCCUCAGCUCUGGGAUAAGCCUGGGAAACUGGGUCUAAUACCGGAUAUGACCUUUCUUCGCACGGGGUUUGGGGGAAAGUUUUUUUGGCUGGGGGUGGGCCCGCGGGCGAUCAGCUUGUUGGUGGGGUGAUGGCCUACCAAGGCGACGACGGGUAGCCGGCCUGGGGAGGCGACCGGCCACCCUGGGACUGAGACACGGCCCAGGCUCCUUCGGGAGGGCGGAGGGGGGGAUUAUGCGCAAUGGGCGGAAGCCUGGCGCAGCGACGCCGCGUGGGGGGUGGCGGCCUUCGGGUUGGUAACCUCUUUCGACCCCGACGAAUUUGGACGGUAGGGGUAGAAGAAGCACCGGCCAACUACGUG
RNAcentral lists this ribosomal RNA (460 nucleotides) under uncultured bacterium. RNAcentral's name for it is "partial 16S ribosomal RNA". It matches the Rfam family "Bacterial small subunit ribosomal RNA", at positions 28 to 507 of the family's 1533-position model. The record is from RNAcentral.